RNAcentral lists this transfer RNA (84 nucleotides) under Nitrososphaeraceae archaeon. RNAcentral describes it as "tRNA-Ser". It matches the Rfam family "tRNA". Rfam says of the family: Transfer RNA (tRNA) molecules are approximately 80 nucleotides in length. Lineage: Archaea; Thermoproteati; Nitrososphaerota; Nitrososphaeria; Nitrososphaerales; Nitrososphaeraceae. The record is from RNAcentral.
GCCGGGGUCGCCUAGCCUGGGAGGGCGCAAGCCUGGAAAGCCUGUGACCGUAUGGUCCCGAGGGUUCAAAUCCCUCUCCCGGCG